GACGAACGCUGGCGGCGUGCUUAACACAUGCAAGUCGAACGGAAAGGCCCUGCUUUUGUGGGGUGCUCGAGUGGCGAACGGGUGAGUAACACGUGAGUAACCUGCCCUUGACUUUGGGAUAACUUCAGGAAACUGGGGCUAAUACCGGAUAGGAGCUCCUGCUGCAUGGUGGGGGUUGGAAAGUUUCGGCGGUUGGGGAUGGACUCGCGGCUUAUCAGCUUGUUGGUGGGGUAGUGGCUUACCAAGGCUUUGACGGGUAGCCGGCAUGAGAGGGUGACCGGCCACAUGGGGACUGAGAGACGGCCCAGACGCCUACGGGAGGCAGCAGUGGGGAAUAUUGCACAAUGGGCGGAAGCCUGAUGCAGCAACGCCGCGUGCGGGAUGACGGCCUUCGGGUUGUAAACCGCUUUCGCCUGUGACGAAGCGUGAGUGACGGUAAUGGGUAAAGAAGCACCGGCUAACUACGUG
Molecule: ribosomal RNA, 468 nt
Filed under: uncultured bacterium
Lineage: Bacteria
Description: partial 16S ribosomal RNA
Rfam family: Bacterial small subunit ribosomal RNA
Source: RNAcentral